GGUCAAGUUUCUAAGAGCAAACGGUGGAUGCCUUGGCAUCUGGAGCCGAUGAAGGACGUAGAAAUCUGCGAUAAGCCUCGGGGAGCUGAUAAUCGAGCUUUGAUCCGAGGAUUUCCGAAUGGGGAAACCCCGCCAGGCGUUUUGCGACCUGGUGACUCCCGCCUGAAUAUAUAGGGCGGGUAGAGGGAACGUGGGGAAGUGAAACAUCUCAGUACCCACAGGAAGAGAAAACAACAUGUGAUUCCGUGAGUAGUGGCGAGCGAAAGCGGAUGAGGCUAAACCGAUCAUGUGUGAUAGCCGGCGGGCGUUGCAUGGUCGGGGUUGUGGGACACGUCACUCAGUUCUGCCGGACUGGGGCGGUUACAGCGCAUCAUAGUCGAACCGGUUUGAAAGCCGGGCCGUAGUGGGUGCCAGCCCCGUAGACGAAAUGGUGUUAUGGCCGGAUGUGUAUCCCAAGUAGCACGGGGCCCGAGAAAUCCCGUGUGAAUCUGUCAGGACCACCUGAUAAGCCUAAAUACUCCCAGAUGACCGAUAGCGGACAAGUACCGUGAGGGAAAGGUGAAAAGUACCCCGGGAGGGGAGUGAAAUAGUACCUGAAACCGUUUGCUUACAAACCGUCGGAGCCUCCUUAGUAGGGGUGACGGCGUGCCUUUUGAAGAAUGAGCCUGCGAGUUAGUGAUAUGUGGCGAGGUUAACCCGUGAGGGGCAGCCGUAGCGAAAGCGAGUCUGAAUAGGGCGUUUGAGUCGCAUGUUCUAGACCCGAAGCGAAGUGAUCUAUCCAUGGCCAGGUUGAAGCGACGGUAAGACGUCGUGGAGGACCGAACCCACUUCAGUUGAAAAUGGAGGGGAUGAGCUGUGGAUAGGGGUGAAAGGCCAAUCAAACUUCGUGAUAGCUGGUUCUCUCCGAAAUGCAUUUAGGUGCAGCGUUGCGUGUUUCUCGCCGGAGGUAGAGCUACUGGAUGGCCGAUGGGCCUCAACAGGUUACUGACGUCAGCCAAACUCCGAAUGCCGGUGAGUGAGAGCGCAGCAGUGAGACGGUGGGGGAUAAGCUUCAUCGUCGAGAGGGAAACAACCCAGACUACCAACUAAGGUCCCUAAGCGUGUGCUAAGUGGGAAAGGAUGUGGAGUUGCACAGACAACCAGGAGGUUGGCUUAGAAGCAGCCACCCUUGAAAGAGUGCGUAAUAGCUCACUGGUCAAGUGAUUCCGCGCCGACAAUGUAACGGGGCUCAAGCACACCACCGAAGUUGUAGAUUUCGCACUAUAGACAAGCCUUCGUGGUUCAGUCGUGCGGAGUGGUAGGAGAGCGUCGUGUGGCGAGUGAAGCGGCGGAGUGAUCCAGCCGUGGACGCUACACGAGUGAGAAUGCAGGCAUGAGUAGCGAAAGACGGGUGAGAAACCCGUCCUCCGAAAGACCAAGGGUUCCAGGGCCAGGUUAAUCCGCCCUGGGUAAGUCGGGACCUAAGGCGAGGCCGACAGGCGUAGUCGAUGGACAACGGGUUGAUAUUCCCGUACCGGCGAACAACCGCCCAAGCUAAUCCAGUGGUGCUAAGAGUCCUAACCCGGUACAACCGGAUCCCUUCGGGGUGAUGGUGGCCGGUCUAACGCUCGACCCCA
Molecule: ribosomal RNA, 1616 nt
Filed under: Curtobacterium flaccumfaciens
Lineage: Bacteria; Bacillati; Actinomycetota; Actinomycetes; Micrococcales; Microbacteriaceae
Description: partial 23S ribosomal RNA
Rfam family: Bacterial large subunit ribosomal RNA
Source: RNAcentral